UCAGAGACUUUAGUUCCACUACUAUGUUGUCGCUGUAGUCUACUAUUCAUGCCUGUUCCAGAGGGGAAAAGAAUCCCCCCAAGCUGUCCAAGAGGAGGAGUGGUUGCAGAAAGUGUAUGCUUCACAGAUGGAAGAAGACUACCUGAAGUAGUUAUCAAUUGUCCAAUAAUUGAAGUGAGAUCAGCCGUUAUGAGUUGCUGUUGCUGGGUUACAAGUUCUUCUGGCUGUCCUGGAACUUGACUCCUCCGGCCAACAAUCAAAUGCACCAAAU
This 271-nucleotide unclassified non-coding RNA is filed under the name Hevea brasiliensis (rubber tree). The record is from RNAcentral. Lineage: Eukaryota; Viridiplantae; Streptophyta; Magnoliopsida; Malpighiales; Euphorbiaceae.